This 1549-nucleotide long non-coding RNA is filed under the name Gadus morhua (Atlantic cod). RNAcentral's name for it is "lncRNA (ENSGMOG00000026358.1)". Lineage: Eukaryota; Metazoa; Chordata; Actinopteri; Gadiformes; Gadidae. The record is from RNAcentral.
CGAUGCCGCUGUUGCCACCAACACGCUACACUCCUCCCAGGAGACCUUAAAGCUCCAACGGCCGUCCCCUCCCCGGCCGUGACCCCCCCCAGCGCCCCACACGCCCCGCGCUCAGUCGGUCCCGCAGAGGGAGCCAAUCAGCUGUCCGGUCAGCCGACCAAUAGGACGACCGCACGGUUCAACGCACGCCUGCCCACCUCCACGCCGUCCCGGAGCCCUACGGGGGUCCCCAAUGGAGACCCCCAGUCCGUGGCCCCCUCUCUGGGCCGCCUGGCCCCCCCAGGCGGCCCCUCGGCCUGUCUUACAGCCGGGGCUUACGGCGGCACGCUAGCAUCGUCUCCCCCUCUCCCAGGGGCCCUGGCCCCGUCUCACCCUCUCCCUCUCCCAGGGGCCCUGGCCCCGUCUCACCCUCUCCCUCUCCCACAGGCCCUGGUCCCGUCUCAUCCUCUCCCAGGGGCCCUCACCCUGUCUCCCCCUCUCCCUGGGGCCCUGGCCCUGUUUCACCCUGGCCCUCUCCCAGGGGCCCUGGCCCUGUUUCACCCUCGCCCUCUCCCAGGGGCCCUGGCCCUGUCUCACCCUCUCCCAGGGGCCCUGUCUCACCCUCUCCCAGGGGCCCUGGCCCUGUCUCACCCUCUCCCAGGGGCCCUGGCCCUGUCUCACCCUCUCCCACAGCCCGGGGCCCCGUCUCACCCUCUUACACGGGCCCCCUGCCCCCGCCCCCUCCCCUCCCUGGCAGCCUAUCAGCAGCCCCCUCAGACCCCCCCUGGUCCCGCCCCCUCCGCCAACCCCCUGGCCCUGCCUCUCUCCCUGGUUGCCCCGUCUCCACAUCCCCGUCCCACUAUCCCGGUGGGACGGCCCGUCGCCCCCCCUCCCUCUGACCCGCCAGGGAGGCCCCUCCCCCUACAGAACCCGCCUCCUACCUUUGGACCAAUAGGAGGAGGAGGAGGAGCGGUCACUGGCCGAGCGACGGAGGACGAGGGGGAACGGGUGGAGUGCACGGCAGGGGCGUGGACGGCGAAGGAGUGCACGGUGGAAAGAUUGCAACAUACGCUGGAGGAGCUCUGGACCGCGCUAGCGGGAAAAGGUUACACGGCGGCAGAGCGGCUGCUGACUGAGUUUGAGCGGGCGUUGGCAGAUGGCCCUCAGGGGACCCCGGGCCCUCUGGGGCCCCAGACCAGCCUGGCCCCGCAGGCGCUACGCAGCCAGAACGCCCAGCCGCACCGGGGUAUGAGGAUCUUCAACCAGCAGUUGCAGGAGAGAGAGAGGGCCGAGAGACUUUGCAGAGAAAGCCACUGUGACGCAAUGCGCCUGGAGGCGGAGCUUAGCGCCGUCCAAUCACAGCUGGGGAGGCUGCAGGCGGAGGUGUCGGAGCUGCGGAUGGCCUUGCAUGAGAAGGACGCCGAGAACGCCCGCAUCAGAGCAGGCUCUGUGGCCCGGUGUCCCGGGACGUCUGGCCAGGUGCUCCUGCUGGCCCAGACGAGGCUGAAGGAGAUGGCGUCUCGGCCCGGUCUCUGCAGUGUGCUCCAGGGGCCCCCUCUGACCCGCCGGG